UUAGUGGGGGAUAGCCCGGCGAAAGCCGGAUUAAUACCGCAUACGACCUACGGGUGAAAGCGGGGGACUCGCAAGAGCCUCGCGCUAUUGGAGCGGCCGAUGUCAGAUUAGCUAGUUGGUGGGGUAAAAGCCUACCAAGGCGACGAUCUGUAGCUGGUCUGAGAGGACGACCAGCCACACUGGGACUGAGACACGGCCCAGACUCCUACGGGAGGCAGCAGUGGGGAAUUUUGGACAAUGGGCGCAAGCCUGAUCCAGCCAUGCCGCGUGCGGGAAGAAGGCCUUCGGGUUGUAAACCGCUUUUGUCAGGGAAGAAACGCUCUGGGCUAAUACCCCGGGGUAAUGACGGUACCUGAAGAAUAAGCACCGGCUAACUACGUGCCAGCAGCCGCGGUAAUACGUAGGGUGCAAGCGUUAAUCGGAAUUACUGGGCGUAAAGCGUGCGCAGGCGGGUAUGCAAGACAGAUGUGAAAUCCCCGGGCUCAACCUGGGAACCGCA
This 499-nucleotide ribosomal RNA is filed under the name uncultured bacterium. Its description in RNAcentral is "bacterial SSU rRNA". It matches the Rfam family "Bacterial small subunit ribosomal RNA", at positions 133 to 625 of the family's 1533-position model. The record is from RNAcentral.